This is an RNA transcript of Zingiber officinale, 2596 nucleotides long. RefSeq lists it as uncharacterized. The transcript is spliced from 8 exons. Lineage: Eukaryota; Viridiplantae; Streptophyta; Magnoliopsida; Zingiberales; Zingiberaceae. The record is from RefSeq and is a predicted model, not a curated record.
CUCUCUUGUUUCACAUCUCACGCGUAGCAACCCUAAAUUGCCGCCGCCGCCGGCGCCGCCUUCUUCGACAGCGCGCAAGCUUCCCGAUCAGGCCACGCCGGAGCGCCUCCGACGUCGUUUUCCGAUUCAUCAGGAGAUCAAGGCAUUGAUCACUACAGGGACCGGAUACUUAGAACAAUAAUACUAUCUCAGGAGAAUUAAAACAUUCUACCAGUGAUAUUUGUCAAAGAGAAAUUCCAGCAUGUAUGAUUCAGGACACAUCAGAUAAGCCCGCCCUAAUAUCAAGUCUGUGAUGGGAUCUCCCAAAAGGAAGUUUGAGGGUGAGUACUUCGACAAUGUGUCAGUUUCCAACAAAAGAAUUUCAAUGCAGAAUACUGUUGAUGUGGAUCCCAAUCAAAGUGAGAUCUCUUGUAGUAAAGAUGGUUCAACGUGGACAAAUGGUGAUGGAUCAUUAGCUAAUCUUGAUCUAAUUUUAGUGACUAACAAUGAAAAAAUGCCAGAACAAACAAAUGAUAGAGCUUAUCGAACAAGUUGUAUAGCCGGUGAGGGUACUUCCAUCUUUAUUAUGUUGAAAGAUAAUAUCUCAAAAGAUGAUGGGACUGACAAAAUGGGAGUAGAAAAUGAUUUAUCAGCUAUCAAUUCGUCUACCAAUGAGGCAGCAGUCCAUGACAUUCAAGAAUCACCUGCAGCAGAAGAAAGUAACGAUACAAUUUAUAUCCAAGCUGGUUCUGGGGUAGAGUGGAUGCUUCCACAAGGAAAUAUACCGCACAACCUGAGGGAUGGCUCACAGAGUAGCGACACCCCAAGAAUCAGUGCUAAACUUGAAGAUUGUGAUUCACAUUAUGGCGUUGCUCAAGAUUUACACAAUAACACAAACUUAUUCCUAGAGACAUCUUCAAACACAUACCAUCUGGAAGCUACCAGUUUUACUGAGGAUGACAAGAAUGCGGAAGUAGAAAGAAUAAGAGGUUACACACACGAAAUCCCAAAAAUCCACUCAGGUGCAAUUUGCACCUUUCAGUCAGUUUCUACGCCUGUUGAUUCUUCUGAUCCUACUAGGCUAUAUAUGUCAGAUAAGAAAGCAACUACCAACAGUGUAGUUGUACAGCAGACUGAGAGCUGGCUGGACAGCUCUGGUGCAGCACAUCAGUGUGAUGUUGUCUCUGUGGAAGCCAGCCUAAAGUUCCUUCAAUCUGGCCUGAAAGAAGGAGGAAGUGUGCCUCCAUCACCAAUUAGAGGUUUAAUACUAUCUCCUCCAAUUUUACCCAUGAAGCAACAUAAUCAAUUGGAUUCAUGUAAUGAAGAAUGUGCAAAUUUCUCAUUUAGAUUAGAGAACAAGUUUGGUAAUGAUUCAUCAGGGAACACUUUUAGAGAGACAUGUAACUUAGGACCUGAAGACGAAUCCGAAUGUGUGAAAUCAGCUAUUAAUGAUAAAUACAAACAUACUGAUCCGGAGGAGAAAAUACUUUUGUCAUCAUCAGCAAGUCAUAUCAUGUCUUCUGAUAUAACCCAGGGCCAGGUCACAAGUUCAAAUUUUGCUUUGCCUAAUACAGAAAAAAGUUCUAAAUUUUCACGGAAAAAGUUAAUUGUUCUUGAUUUGAAUGGAUUACUGGCUGAUAUCAAUCAGGAUUACCGGAAUGCUCAUAAAGCACAUAGCAGAGUUGGAGGGAAAUUAGUUUUCAAAAGGCCCUUCUGUGAUGAUUUUCUCAAGUUUUGUUUCGAGAGAUUUAAUGUAGGUGUCUGGUCCUCAAGAAGAAGAUACAAUGUGGACUCUGUGGUUGAAUAUCUCAUGGGAGAUUUGAAAAGUAAACUGUUAUUUUGUUGGGACCAAUCAAAAUGCACUGACACUGGAUGUGUGACCAUCGACAACAUUCAUAAACCACUUCUUCUCAAGGAGCUAAACAAAUUAUGGGACAAAGAGGACCCUGACCUUCCAUGGGAAAAGGGAGAAUACUCAGCAUCUAACACAUUACUUAUAGAUGAUUCUCCUUACAAAGCUCUUUGCAAUCCCCCUCACACUGCUAUUUUCCCAGAUCCAUAUAGUUUUACCAACAAAGAUGACGAUUGCUUGGGACCUGAAGGCAGGCUUCGUCAUUAUUUGGAAGGGCUAGCAAUGGCAGAUGAUGUUCAACUAUAUAUUCAAGCAAAUCCUUUUGGCCAGAAUCCUAUUGCAGAUAGUAAUCCAUCAUGGAAAUUCUACCAUCAGAUCAUUGAUAAAAUUCAGAACUCAUCAUCUCUAACUACUUGAAGCUGAUGGUUUCUCCUCAUUGCCUGUGCUGUAGUGAUUGUAUUUUUCAUAAAGAUGCCACAGUUAUGUUCAAGUCUUUGUAAAUCUGGAAGAGUGGAACUACUCUAAUAUUAUUCUUAUUGGUUUGCAAGGGAAUGCAAAUUUCUCAUAAAUCCUCUUUUUAGCAAUUCCGUUCUUUUGGGCAAUAUACUGCAAAAGAUGGUUCUUAUUUCAUAUUAAACCUCAUCAAUCAUUUGAAGUUGUUCUCCAGCUCUGUACAUGUGUUUCCAAAGUACUUGAAUGCUUCAUCUGAUUGUUUUAAUGUUUAAUUGUUUGUUUAUCGAUGUGGAUCAAGUUGAAAUAUCUUCA